RNAcentral lists this ribosomal RNA (482 nucleotides) under uncultured bacterium. Its description in RNAcentral is "partial 16S ribosomal RNA". It matches the Rfam family "Bacterial small subunit ribosomal RNA", at positions 30 to 507 of the family's 1533-position model. The record is from RNAcentral.
AUUGAACGCUGGCGGCAUGCCUUACACAUGCGAGUCGAACGGUAACAGGUCUUCGGUUGCUGACGAGUGGCGAACGGGGGAGUAAUACAUCGGAACGUGCCCGAUCGUGGGGGAUAACGAAGCGAAAGCUUUGCUAAUACCGCAUACGAUCUACGGAUGAAAGCGGGGGAUCUUCGGACCUCGCGCGGACUGAGCGGCCGAUGGCAGAUUAGGUAGUUGGUGGGAUAAAAGCUUACCAAGCCGACGAUCUGUAGCUGGUCUGAGAGGAUGAUCAGCCACACUGGGACUGAGACACGGCCCAGACUCCUACGGGAGGCAGCAGUGGGGAAUUUUGGACAAUGGGCGCAAGCCUGAUCCAGCCAUGCCGCGUGCAGGAUGAAGGCCUUCGGGUUGUAAACUGCUUUUGUACGGAACGAAAAGGUGCCUUCUAAUAAAGGGCGCUCAUGACGGUACCGUAAGAAUAAGCACCGGCUAACUACGUG